GUAGGGAAUAUUGGGCAAUGGAGGCAACUCUGACCCAGCCAUGCCGCGUGCAGGAUGACGGCCCUCUGGGUUGUAAACUGCUUUUAUACGGGAAGAAAAAAUACUACGUGUAGUAUACUGACGGUACCGUAAGAAUAAGGAUCGGCUAACUCCGUGCCAGCAGCCGCGGUAAUACGGAGGAUCCAAGCGUUGUCCGGAUUUAUUGGGUUUAAAGGGUGCGUAGGCGGAUCUUUAAGUCAGUGGUGAAAGACUGCAGCUUAACUGUAGAAUUGCCAUUGAAACUGAAGAUCGUGAAUGUGGUUAAAGUAGGCGGAAUGUAUCAUGUAGCGGUGAAAUGCUUAGAUAUGAUACAGAACACCGAUAGCGAAGGCAGCUUGCUGAACCAUUAUUGACGCUGAGGCACGAAAGCGUGGGGAGCGAACAGGAUUAGAAACCCGUGUAGUCC
This 445-nucleotide ribosomal RNA is filed under the name uncultured bacterium. RNAcentral describes it as "bacterial SSU rRNA". It matches the Rfam family "Bacterial small subunit ribosomal RNA", at positions 354 to 796 of the family's 1533-position model. The record is from RNAcentral.